Hipposideros armiger (great roundleaf bat) is the source of this 393-nucleotide long non-coding RNA. RefSeq lists it as uncharacterized. The record is from RefSeq and is a predicted model, not a curated record. The transcript is spliced from 4 exons. Lineage: Eukaryota; Metazoa; Chordata; Mammalia; Chiroptera; Hipposideridae.
UCCUGAACUCCUGGCAUGAAGAAUAGCUACAGGAAAGGCUGACACAGCCUGACUUUUCCCUGUACACGUGGCUUCCUUGUCAGUUUCUAUUAUCACACACUUCUUUCUUCAGGAAUAAGGUGCCAGUGAGCUGAAGAUCAAACAAACAACACUGAAUAUGAAGGACUUGGAGAAAUGAUACGUCCUACAAGUUCCCGCCAAUGGGCACCAUUUCUCCUGGACUGAGGAACAAGUUUAUUCUCAAGAAAAAGAAAGGCUGACCUGGCAUCUGAGGUGGUUGGAAAAGUUUACUGCCAAGGAUUUUAGAGUGGGACCAGCUUUCUGCAUACCGAGGCAGUUAUCUGAAGGAUCCAGGAUUGCUUCUUUCACCAGCCUCCACCUCUCAGCUUUUCU